AACGCGAAGAACCUUACCCAGGUUUGACAUGUAGUAGACAGCUCUAGAGAUAGAGUCUUCCGCAAGGACUGCUACACAGGUGCUGCAUGGCUGUCGUCAGCUCGUGCCGUGAGGUGUUGGGUUAAGUCCCGCAACGAGCGCAACCCUUGUCAUUAGUUGCCAACACGUAAAGGUGGGAACUCUAAUGAGACUGCCUAGGUUAACUAGGAGGAAGGUGAGGAUGACGUCAAGUCCGCAUGGCCCUUAUGUCUGGGGCUACACACGUGCUACAAUGGUCGGUACAAUGGGCAGCUAAGCCGAAAGGUGGCGCAAAUCCAAAAAGCCGACCCCAGUUCAGAUUGUGGUCUGCAACUCGACCACAUGAAGCCGGAAUUGCUAGUAAUGGCGCGUCAGCAACAGCGCCGUGAAUACGUUCCCGGGCCUUGUACACACCGAGUAUA
This 440-nucleotide ribosomal RNA is filed under the name uncultured bacterium. Its description in RNAcentral is "bacterial SSU rRNA". It matches the Rfam family "Bacterial small subunit ribosomal RNA", at positions 958 to 1398 of the family's 1533-position model. The record is from RNAcentral.